The sequence is a transfer RNA, 84 nucleotides long. It matches the Rfam family "tRNA". Rfam says of the family: Transfer RNA (tRNA) molecules are approximately 80 nucleotides in length.
GGGGAGAUACCAGAGUGGCCAAAUGGGACGGACUGUAAAUCCGUUGGGAAACCUACGAAGGUUCGAAUCCUUCUCUCCCCACCA